CAGUCAGGAUCAGGGAUGCAAUGUGCUACAAAAUGAUGAAGAACGCAGCUGGCUGCGAGAAUUAAUGUGAAUUGCAGGACACAUUGAUCAUCGACACUUCCAACAUACUUGCGGCCCUGGGUUCCUCCUAGGGCUACACCUGGCUGAGCGUUG
Molecule: ribosomal RNA, 153 nt
Organism: Chelonoidis abingdonii (Abingdon island giant tortoise)
Lineage: Eukaryota; Metazoa; Chordata; Testudines; Testudinidae
Rfam family: 5.8S ribosomal RNA
About the family: 5.8S ribosomal RNA (5.8S rRNA) is a component of the large subunit of the eukaryotic ribosome. It is transcribed by RNA polymerase I as part of the 45S precursor that also contains 18S and 28S rRNA.
Source: Ensembl